Molecule: ribosomal RNA, 795 nt
Filed under: uncultured bacterium
Lineage: Bacteria
Description: bacterial SSU rRNA
Rfam family: Bacterial small subunit ribosomal RNA
Source: RNAcentral
GCGGACGGCUGAGUAAUACGUAGGAAUGUACCCCAAACUGAGGGAUAACUGCCCGAAAGGGUGGCUAAUACCGCAUGUGCUCUUCGGAGUAAAGCUUCGGCGGUUUGGGAACAGCCUGCGUCCGAUUAGCUUGUUGGUGAGGUAAUGGCUCACCAAGGCGACGAUCGGUAGCUGGUCUGAGAGGAUGAUCAGCCAGACUGGGACUGAGACACGGCCCAGACUCCUACGGGAGGCAGCAGCAGGGAAUUUUCCACAAUGGGGGCAACCCUGAUGGAGCAGCGCCGCGUGCAGGAUGAAGGCCUUCGGGUUGUAAACUGCUUUUAAGAGCGAAGAUUAUGACGGUAGCUCUUGAAUAAGGAUUGGCUAACUCCGUGCCAGCAGCCGCGGUCAUACGGAGGAUCCAAGCGUUAUCCGGAAUUACUGGGCGUAAAGAGUUGCGUAGGUGGCAGAGUAAGUUGGUAGUGAAAGCGUACAGCUCAACUGUAUAUCCAUUACCAAAACCGCUCAGCUAGAGGACGAGAGAGGUAGAUGGAAUUCCUAGUGUAGGGGUAAAAUCCGUUGAUAUUAGGAGGAACACCGAUGGCGUAAGCAGUCUACUGGCUCGUUCCUGACACUCAGGCACGAAAGCGUGGGGAGCAAACGGGAUUAGAUACCCCGGUAGUCCACGCCGUAAACUAUGGAUGCUAGCUGUUAUGGGUAUCGACCCCCGUAGUAGCGAAGCUAACGCGUUAAGCAUCCCGCCUGUGGAGUACGGUCGCAAGACUAAAACAUAAAGGAAUUGACGGGGACCCGCAC